AAUAAACGCUGGCGGCGUGCCUAACACAUGCAAGUCGGACGAGAAAGGCUGAUUUUCGGAUUAGCCGAGUAAAGUGGCGCACGGGUGAGUAACGCGUAGGUAACCUACCCUUGUAUUUGGGAUAACAGGACGAAAGUUUUGCUAAUACCGGAUACGACCUGAGGGCGGAGGUUUUCAGGUGAAAGUCGGCCUCUUCGAGAAAGCUGACGUACAGGGAUGGGUCUGCGUCCUAUCAGCUAGUUGGUGGGGUAACGGCCUACCAAGGCGACGACGGGUAGCUGGUCUGAGAGGAUGAUCAGCCACACUGGCACUGGAACACGGGCCAGACUCCUACGGGAGGCAGCAGUGAGGAAUUUUGCGCAAUGGCCGCAAGGCUGACGCAGCAACGCCGCGUGGGUGAAGAAGGCCUUCGGGUCGUAAAGCCCUGUCAGGUGGGAAGAAAGGUUUCGUCAAGAAACGGAUGGAAUUUGACGGUACCACCAGAGGAAGCACCGGCUAACUCCGUG
This 506-nucleotide ribosomal RNA is filed under the name uncultured bacterium. Its description in RNAcentral is "bacterial SSU rRNA". It matches the Rfam family "Bacterial small subunit ribosomal RNA", at positions 29 to 507 of the family's 1533-position model. The record is from RNAcentral.